UUGUCCCUUUAAGGUCACUGUAGUGCUUUAAGAGGCUAAGUGUUAACAGCAGGGGGAAAGAACUCUCCAUCAAACCCAGGGAGAAGACUGAACACCUCCUCUAUGGAUCCUUUCUCGAGUCACAGAC
Onychomys torridus (southern grasshopper mouse) is the source of this 127-nucleotide small nucleolar RNA. RefSeq annotates it as small nucleolar RNA SNORA26. The record is from RefSeq and is a predicted model, not a curated record. The transcript has a single exon. Lineage: Eukaryota; Metazoa; Chordata; Mammalia; Rodentia; Cricetidae.